This 513-nucleotide ribosomal RNA is filed under the name uncultured bacterium. RNAcentral's name for it is "partial 16S ribosomal RNA". It matches the Rfam family "Bacterial small subunit ribosomal RNA", at positions 28 to 523 of the family's 1533-position model. The record is from RNAcentral.
GAUGAACGCUGGCGGCGUGCCUAAUACAUGCAAGUCGAGCGAAUGGAUUAAGAGCUUGCUCUUAUGAAGUUAGCGGCGGACGGGUGAGUAACACGUGGGUAACCUGCCCAUAAGACUGGGAUAACUCCGGGAAACCGGCGCUAAUACCGGAUAACAUUUUGAACCGCAUGGUUCGAAAUUGAAAGGCGGCUUCGGCUGUCACUUAUGGAUGGACCCGCGUCGCAUUAGCAAGUUGGUGAGGUAACGGCUCACCGAGGCUACGAUGCGUAGCCGACCUGAGAGGGUGAUCGGCCACACUGGGACUGGGACACGGCCCACUCCUACGGGAGGCAGCAGUAGGGAAUCUUCCGCAAUGGACGAAAGUCUGACGGAGCAACGCCGCGUGAGUGAUGAAGGCUUUCGGGUCGUAAAACUCUGUUGUUAGGGAAGAACAAGUGCUAGUUGAAUAAGCUGGCACCUUGACGGUACCUAACCAGAAAGCCACGGCUAACUACGUGCCAGCCGCCGCGGUAA